This 223-nucleotide ribosomal RNA is filed under the name uncultured bacterium. RNAcentral's name for it is "partial 16S ribosomal RNA". It matches the Rfam family "Bacterial small subunit ribosomal RNA", at positions 524 to 745 of the family's 1533-position model. The record is from RNAcentral.
UACGUAGGGUGCAAGCGUUGUCCGGAAUUAUUGGGCGUAAAGAGCUCGUAGGCGGUCUGUCGCGUCUGCUGUGAAAACUCAGGGCUUAACCCUGAGCUUGCAGUGGGUACGGGCAGACUAGAGUGCGGUAGGGGGAGACUGGAAUUCCUGGUGUAGCGGUGAAAUGCGCAGAUAUCAGGAGGAACACCGGUGGCGAAGGCGGGUCUCUGGGCCGUAACUGACG